RNAcentral lists this ribosomal RNA (216 nucleotides) under Glomeromycotina sp. RNAcentral's name for it is "partial small subunit ribosomal RNA". The stretch from base 40 to 216 matches the Rfam family "Eukaryotic small subunit ribosomal RNA", at positions 686 to 864 of the family's 1831-position model. The record is from RNAcentral. Lineage: Eukaryota; Fungi; Glomeromycota.
GGGUCAGUAGGUUGGUCGUGCCACCGGUACGUACUGGUCUCACUGAUUCCUCCUUCCUGAAGAACCGUAAUGCCAUUAAUUUGGUGUCGCGGGGAAACAGGACUGUUACUUUGAAAAAAUUAGAGUGUUUAAAGCAAGCUAACGCUUGAAUACAUUAGCAUGGAAUAAUGAAAUAGGACGAUCGAUCCUAUUUUGUUGGUUUCUAGUAUUGACGUA